AUGGUACCUCAACAGGUGAAGCUGCAGGAGUUGGGCCCAGGACUGGUGAGACCAUCAGAGACACUGUACCUCACCUGUUCUGUCUCUGGUGAAUCCAUAUCCAGUAGUAACAGUUGGGACUCAAUCCGUCAACCAACAGGGAAGGGACUGGAGUGGAUUGGAUAUAUACAUGGUAGUGAUGGUAAUACUUACUACAGUCCAUCUAUGAAGAACCAAGCCACCAACUCAAAAGACAUAUCCAAGAAUCAGUUCUCCAUGAACCUUAGUUAUGUGACAGCUGAGGAUACAGCCAUGUACUACUGUGCAAGAAACACAGUGAGGGGAAGUGAGUAUGAGUCUAAACAAAAAACAACUGGGCCUCAUGAAGACUUGACUGCUGGGAGGAUUCAUCCCAACAGGGUAUUCUGA
Erinaceus europaeus (western European hedgehog) is the source of this 408-nucleotide non-coding RNA. Lineage: Eukaryota; Metazoa; Chordata; Mammalia; Eulipotyphla; Erinaceidae. The record is from the annotation of a RefSeq genome assembly.